UACGGAGGGUGCAAGCGUUAAUCGGAGUUACUGGGCGUAAAGCGCACGCAGGCGGUCAGUUAAGUCGGAUGUGAAAUCCCCGGGCUUAACCCGGGAAUUGCAUUCGAAACUGGUAGGCUAGAGUCUUGUAGAGGGGGGUAGAAUUCCAUGUGUAGCGGUGAAAUGCGUAGAGAUGUGGAGGAAUACCGGUGGCGAAGGCGGCCCCCUGGACAAAGACUGACGCUCAGGUGCGAAAGCGUGGGGAGCAAACAGG
RNAcentral lists this ribosomal RNA (253 nucleotides) under uncultured bacterium. RNAcentral's name for it is "partial 16S ribosomal RNA". It matches the Rfam family "Bacterial small subunit ribosomal RNA", at positions 524 to 776 of the family's 1533-position model. The record is from RNAcentral.